GACGAACGCUGGCGGCGUGCUUAACACAUGCAAGUCGAACGGAAAGGCCUGCUUUCCCUUGUGGAUUGCGGGUACUCGAGUGGCGAACGGGUGAGUAACACGUGAGUGAUCUGCCCCCAACUUGGGUAUAAGCCUGGGAAACUGGGUCUAAUUCCCGAUAGGACUGCAGGGUGGUGCCUGUGGUGGAAAACGAUUUUCUAGUGGUUGGGGAUGAGCUCGCGGCCUAUCCGCUUGUUGGUGGGGUAAUGGCCUACCAAGGCGGCGACGGGUAGCCGGCCUGAGAGGGUGGACGGCCACAUUUGGACUGCGAUACGGCCCAGACUCCUACGGGAGGCAGCAGUGGGGAAUAUUGCACGAUGGGCGGAAGCCGGAUGCAGCGACGCCGCGUGGGGGAUGACGGCCUUCGGGUUGUAAACUCCUUUCGACCGCGAGGAAGCCACCUGGUUGGAAGGGUGGUGACGGUAGUGGUAGAAGAAGCACCGGCUAACUACGUG
RNAcentral lists this ribosomal RNA (494 nucleotides) under uncultured bacterium. Its description in RNAcentral is "partial 16S ribosomal RNA". It matches the Rfam family "Bacterial small subunit ribosomal RNA", at positions 28 to 507 of the family's 1533-position model. The record is from RNAcentral.